AACGAACGCUGGCGGCAUGCCUAACACAUGCAAGUCGAACGAAGGCUUCGGCCUUAGUGGCGCACGGGUGCGUAACGCGUGGGAACCUGCCCCUCGGUUCGGAAUAACAGUUAGAAAUGACUGCUAAUACCGGAUGAUGACUUCGGUCCAAAGAUUUAUCGCCGAGGGAUGGGCCCGCGUAGGAUUAGCUAGUUGGUGGGGUAAAGGCCUACCAAGGCGACGAUCCUUAGCUGGUCUGAGAGGAUGAUCAGCCACACUGGGACUGAGACACGGCCCAGACUCCUACGGGAGGCAGCAGUGGGGAAUAUUGGACAAUGGGCGAAAGCCUGAUCCAGCAAUGCCGCGUGAGUGAUGAAGGCCUUAGGGUUGUAAAGCUCUUUUACCAGGGAUGAUAAUGACAGUACCUGGAGAAUAAGCUCCGGCUAACUCCGUGCCAGCAGCCGCGGUAAUGUAGACG
This 457-nucleotide ribosomal RNA is filed under the name uncultured bacterium. Its description in RNAcentral is "bacterial SSU rRNA". It matches the Rfam family "Bacterial small subunit ribosomal RNA", at positions 29 to 531 of the family's 1533-position model. The record is from RNAcentral.